AAAUCUCACAAAAUGAAACAUUUUUUGUUUCAAAUUUUGUGGACUUGGAUUUGCGAUCCUUGGAUUGAUUGCUAAUCUGAAAUGAAUUUCAUGAAGCUUAACUUGCUUUGAAUCUUUUGCUUAAUAGUUUUGCUUUGUCAAAUCUUUUGCAAUUGAUUUCAAAAGCCCAAAAAGUGGAUUGAUUUUUACGAAAUCUAAAAUCUCAUU
RNAcentral lists this unclassified non-coding RNA (207 nucleotides) under uncultured Mucorales. RNAcentral's name for it is "sequence contains ITS2". Lineage: Eukaryota; Fungi; Mucoromycota; Mucoromycetes; Mucorales. The record is from RNAcentral.